Long non-coding RNA from Polypterus senegalus (gray bichir), 528 nucleotides. RefSeq lists it as uncharacterized. The record is from RefSeq and is a predicted model, not a curated record. The transcript has 3 exons. NCBI's taxonomy places the organism in Eukaryota, Metazoa, Chordata, Cladistia, Polypteriformes, Polypteridae.
AAGUUGCAGGUGAAAGCAGGAAGUAGGAGGUGAAAGUCGGUGCAGGAGAGAGAGCGAGAAAGUGCAGUCUUGCAUGUAGCUGAACAGAGAGCCUGGGUGUUGGGGCCGACGCCCAGGGACUUGUAAUAGUGGUCGCUCCCGCAGAUUUUGUUUUGAAGGGUGGGAGGAGUGACCGGAAGGUGGAUGACUCUCCGCGGAAGGCAGCGGGAGUCGGUACUUGGGACGUGGUGUCCCCUGCGUGAGAGCCUUGGCCGUUAGGGAAUCCCAAGUUGCUGUCUGGAGGAGUCUACCGGAGCCAGGGGUCGGUAAGGCGAUCCAAACAGCUGAAGCAGGUUCAGCACCAGCCAUGGUUUGUGCCCGCCUUGUAAGCGCUGCUACAAUAGGAGGUGACAUCUUUAUGACCAUGAAUUGGAUUGAGAGGCUCUGAAAAUGGUCAUUUGAACGAUUUUAACCUGAUGCGUAUGAGCCACCUGAAGCAUAUUUCUGGGUCCUCCCGUUAGGAGUUGCCACAGCGGAUCAUCUUUUUCC